This 253-nucleotide ribosomal RNA is filed under the name uncultured bacterium. Its description in RNAcentral is "partial 16S ribosomal RNA". It matches the Rfam family "Bacterial small subunit ribosomal RNA", at positions 524 to 776 of the family's 1533-position model. The record is from RNAcentral.
UACGUAGGGUGCAAGCGUUGUCCGGAGUUAUUGGGCGUAAAGCGUGCGCAGGCGGUUUUGUAAGCCAGAUGUGAAAUCCCCGGGCUUAACCUGGGAAUGGCAUUUGGGACUGCAAGGCUUGAGUGCGGCAGAGGAGACUGGAAUUCCCGGUGUAGCAGUGAAAUGCGUAGAUAUCGGGAGGAAUACCGAUGGCGAAGGCAGGUCUCUGGGCUGACACUGACGCUCAUGCACGAAAGCGUGGGGAGCAAACAGG